CAACUGACUCGUUUUUCUUUCCCCUAAGAUAAUCACAUCCUAUAUUAAAUUCGACCCUUGUUGCUCUGCCGGUUUUGAUAAACAAAGAUAAAUGAGACACGAGGAAGCAGACAUGGUCUGUAUACGCCGGUCGAACUGCGCAGGACCGCAAUGACAGGCCAACGCCAUAAUGGAAGGAGUGACAACAUGGUAACGGGGUGGGAUUUACCCCACCUCCGACGCCACGACUUAAUCAUCUGAAGCAAAUAAGGGCAUUGUACAGCCUGAAGUACACAGCCCCACUAGAUUUACGAUGCAGCACUCCUAGGACACGGGUGAUCAACAAAGUGCUUUGAAGUGUUAUCAUUUAAUGUCACAAUUUUCCAUGGAAACUCAGAGGGCAGCAAAAGUGGGUUACCAACCCAGGAUGAGAGUCUACAAGAGAACUGAGAAAAAAAUUUAGGCUGAAAGAACUCAAAGCUGGG
This is a long non-coding RNA of Herpailurus yagouaroundi (jaguarundi), 464 nucleotides long. RefSeq lists it as uncharacterized. The record is from RefSeq and is a predicted model, not a curated record. NCBI's taxonomy places the organism in Eukaryota, Metazoa, Chordata, Mammalia, Carnivora, Felidae. The transcript is spliced from 2 exons.